AUGGAACAAAACAAGGGACCACACCCACAGAAAGCAAGCAGCAGACUUUGUAGCAUAUGCAAGGAGUAUGAACCACACAAUGCAAGAACAUGCCCGAAGUGCGCAGAUGCUGAAAAGACAAGCAAAAAUCUAGAGAAGAAACAGAAAGCAAAACCUAGAGCCAGCAAUAAGAAAGUGGUGGAAGAUGAAGAGGAAGACGAAGAUGAAGACACCAUCGGAGAAGAGGAAGACGAAGAGGAAGAAAAAAAGGAUGAUGAAGAAGAAGAGGACGAUGAAGAGGAAGAUGAAGAGGAAGAGGUACAUGUCAAGCAAAAACCACUACAACCAAAGCCUAGGAGGAGCGCAAGGCUAAUGAACAGUUAG
This 363-nucleotide ribosomal RNA is filed under the name Triticum aestivum (bread wheat). RNAcentral's name for it is "partial small subunit ribosomal RNA". Lineage: Eukaryota; Viridiplantae; Streptophyta; Magnoliopsida; Poales; Poaceae. The record is from RNAcentral.